GAUGAACGCUGGCGGCGUGCUUAACACAUGCAAGUCGAACGGAACUACUCCAAUGAGAGUCUUCGGAAAGGAUUUGGUUUAGUUUAGUGGCGGACGGGUGAGUAACGCGUGGGUAACCUGCCCUAUACAGGGGGAUAACAGUUGGAAACGACUGUUAAUACCGCAUAAGCGCACAGGAGCGCAUGCUCCGGUGUGAAAAACUCCGGUGGUAUAGGAUGGACCCGCGUCUGAUUAGCUGGUUGGCGGGGUAACGGCCCACCAAGGCGACGAUCAGUAGCCGGGCUGGGAGGGUGAACGGCCACAUUGGGGCUGAGACACGGCCCAAACUCCUACGGGAGGCAGCAGUAGGGAAUAUUGCACAAUGGGGGAAACCCUGAUGCAGCGACGCCGCGUGAGCGAAGAAGUAUCUCGGUAUGUAAAGCUCUAUCAGCAGGGAAGAAAAUGACGGUAACUGACUAAGAAGCCCCGGCUAACUACGUG
RNAcentral lists this ribosomal RNA (480 nucleotides) under uncultured bacterium. Its description in RNAcentral is "partial 16S ribosomal RNA". It matches the Rfam family "Bacterial small subunit ribosomal RNA", at positions 28 to 507 of the family's 1533-position model. The record is from RNAcentral.